GAUGAACGCUGGCGGCGUGCCUAAUACAUGCAAGUCGAGCGGCAGCGCGAGUAGUUUACUACUUGGCGGCGAGCGGCGGACGGCUGAGUAACGCGUAGGAACAUACCCCAAACUGAGGGAUAAGCACCAGAAAUGGUGUCUAAUACCGCAUGUGCUCUAAGGAGUAAAGCUUCGGCGGUUUGGGAAUGGCCUGCGUUAGAUUAGCUUGUUGGUGAGGUAAAAGCUCACCAAGGCGACGAUCUAUAGCUGGUCUGAGAGGAUGAUCAGCCAGACUGGGACUGAGACACGGCCCAGACUCCUACGGGAGGCAGCAGUAGGGAAUUUUCCACAAUGGGCGAAAGCCUGAUGGAGCAACGCCGCGUGCAGGAUGAAUGCCUCGGUUGUAACUAGCUUUAUUAUGUGACGAUUAU
Molecule: ribosomal RNA, 410 nt
Filed under: uncultured bacterium
Lineage: Bacteria
Description: bacterial SSU rRNA
Rfam family: Bacterial small subunit ribosomal RNA
Source: RNAcentral